AUAUUUUGCUAUACUACUGUUAUACUACAGUCGGCAGAAUAGUGCUGUCGGAGUAGGUGUUUGUCAAAUUGAAUUAAUUGUCAGACGUACUACAAAUUUUUGGAAGUUUAAGCACAUUAGAAAAAUCGAAAACAAGAAAGUUAUUCUUGUCGAAACAAAAUGUUUCGUAGCUCGCCUACUUUUGAUAAAUUAUUAGAGAAAGCGACGAGUAAUUUACAACUUGAAACAGAUUGGGUUGCAAUUCUUCAAAUUUGUGAUUUAAUACGUCAAGGAGAUGUGCAGCCUAAAGCAGCACUUGCAGCCAUAAAGAAGAAAGUAACAAAUAGUAAUCCACAUGUAGCUUUAUAUGCUUUAUUGGUGCUGGAAUCUUGCGUAAAAAAUUGUGGCACACUGAUACACGAUGAAAUCGGUACAAAACAAUACAUGGAGCAGCUUAAAGAACUAGUUAAAACAACACCACACGAAAAUGUUAAACUGAAAACUUUAGAAUUGAUUCAAGCCUGGGCACAUGCUUUUCGGAAUAGUCCUAAAUACAGAGCAGUACAAGAUACACUUAAUAUUAUGAAAGCUGAAGGCCAUAAGUUUCCUACUUUGAAAGAAAGCGAUGCCAUGUUUCGUGCUGAUAUUGCUCCACCAUGGGUAGACGGCGAUGUAUGUCAUAGGUGUCGCGUAUCGUUUAAUUUGGUGCAACGAAAACAUCAUUGUAGAGCAUGUGGGCAAGUGUUUUGUAACCAAUGUUCAAGUAAAACCUGUACUUUACCAAAAUUUGGAUUUGAGAAGGAAGUUCGAGUUUGUGAAGCAUGUUAUGAACAAGUACAUAAACCGUCAACUGCACCAGUUAAGGAACCAGAUCUGCCUGCUGAAUAUCUCAAUAGCUCUCUGGCUCAGCAGCAACAAGUACCGCCUAGAAAAACGGCAACAGAACUUCAAGAAGAAGAGGAGCUCAAUCUUGCUAUAGCUUUAAGCCAAAGUGAAGCAGAACAUAAAGAAAAGGAAAAGAAACGAGCAACCAGCGCUUUAAAGUCAAAUACCGGAACGAUAUCCAGGACAACGUAUUCUCCACCACCUUCACCCGGUCCUAGUCCAUCGAAGUUGCAAGAAGAAGAAGAAGUUGAACCUGAACUUGCAAAAUAUUUAAAUCGUAAAUAUUGGGAACAGAGACAAACGGCAAUCGAAGAACACGGUUCUAGAGUAGAUGUUACAAGUCCUUCUGCUCCUAAUAUAAGCAGUCCAAUGCCUCAAAAAGUCGUAAUUGUGAAGCAACAAAAUGGCGAAGUUGAUAAUCAGAUGGAAGAAUUUGUCAGUGCUUUACGUUCCCAGGUUGAAAUUUUUGUUAACAGAAUGAAGAGCAACUCGUCGAGAGGUAGAUCGAUUGCUAACGAUAGUUCUGUGCAAACCUUAUUUUUGAAUAUCACCGCUAUGCACUCAAGAUUACUAACGUACAUUCAAGAACAAGAUGAUAGUAGAGUAUAUUACGAGGGUCUUCAAGAUAAAUUAACGCAAAUGAAAGAUGCUAGAGCCGCGUUAGACGCAUUGCGAGAGGAACACAGAGAAAAAUUACGGAGACAAGCUGAAGAAGCUGAAAGGCAAAGGCAGAUGUUGAUGGCUCAGAAAUUGGCUAUUAUGAGAAAGAAAAAACAAGAAUAUCUACAAUAUCAACGUCAGCUUGCAUUGCAGAAAAUUCAAGAGCAAGAAAGAGAAAUGCAAAUGAGACAAGAACAGCAAAAGCAGCAAUACAUUAUGGGUGGCUAUCAAGCUGUUUCUGGUUUUAUCGGGCCAUCUCAAGGUUCACCAGUUCGUCACAUGCAGUAUCAAACGCCUGGAUCAAACUAUAAUCCUAUGUCUCCGACAAGUCAAGGAUUCAUGUACGGACAACCUUCGAUGAAGCAGUAUCCGUUACAAAAUUACAAUAUGCCACCAAUGAAUUCCAUGUUACCGCACGUGAUGGGACCGAUGCCUAAUCCAGAGCAACAACCAAAUGAUCCAUCCAUUCAAGGACACGAAGCUAUGGGUCGGGUUUCUGUUUCUGGACCUGGGAUGAUAUCUCAAAUGACCAAUCCCAUACCGCAACUUCAGCAGGUAGGUGGACAUCAGAUGGGACCGCCCCCGCCACAACAGGGUCCACCAAGUCAUAUAACACAAGGACAACCUACACCGGGACAUAUACCACAACAACAAGGUGCUCCUCCGCAAAUUGCACAAGCAGGACCACCGAGUCAAAUAGGUAUGCCCCAGGUACCUCAGGGUCACAUGGGUCCUUCACCUACACAAAUCGGAUCUGGUGCACACGGUCCUCCUGGUCAAGUAGUCGGCCUUCCACCACAGAUGGGACCGCAACAACAAUCUACAGGUCCUCAAGGACCUUCGAUGCCGCCUCAUGUUUCGAAUACUCCUAUUUCAUCCCAGGGAUCAACUUCUAUUCAGGUACCCCCAGGAACUACGACCACAUCGAUUCUGACAUCGAAUCAAACGAUGCAAGGUCCGCAAGGACCUGCUGUACCAACGAUGCAAGGUAUGCCCCAGGCCCCCAUAUCCCAGGGGCAACAGAUGCAAUUUCAACCAUCAACUCCUAUGUCAGCGGCAUCCAACGAAAGUACAUCGGUGAAAGAAGAUGCGAAACCGGAAACAGCAGAGUUGAUUUCCUUCGAUUGAAAGAUCCUUUCUUACAUAAAGAUUAACUGAUAAUGAGAAGUGCAUUUAAGAAUUGAAAAAAAAAUUCAUUUUUUAAACUAUUAAUAAAAUAAAAAUGAAUUAACAGAAACUUAUAAUAUUGGUGAUACCUACCACGUUUAAUAUUGGUUUCUGUUUGUUAAAUUUUAUUUACGUUAUACAAGUUUCUAAUAUUCCAUAAUGGUUUCUUGGUGAUAUUACGUUUUGUUAGUACAUUGAAAGAAACAGGUUAUUGCAUCAUUUAUUUCGUGUUUAUAGAAAUUGCCAACAAUAUAUACAGAAAUUAAAUACAAGAUUUUGUUGCAUAAUUGUGAAGUAUACCAUGCCUAGUGAGACGUUAUUUGUAAUAUUUAAAUAGCAAAAACAUAAACUUCCAAUUAUAUUGUAUCUAGAUGAAAUGUAUGUACAAAAUACUUGUAUGUUACAUAGCAUAAAGGAACUGAAGAACAUUAGUUUUACCUCA
RNA transcript from Osmia bicornis bicornis, 3133 nucleotides. It is a transcript of the gene named hepatocyte growth factor-regulated tyrosine kinase substrate, with no coding region annotated. The record is from RefSeq and is a predicted model, not a curated record. Lineage: Eukaryota; Metazoa; Arthropoda; Insecta; Hymenoptera; Megachilidae. The transcript has 12 exons.